Molecule: ribosomal RNA, 249 nt
Filed under: uncultured bacterium
Lineage: Bacteria
Description: partial 16S ribosomal RNA
Rfam family: Bacterial small subunit ribosomal RNA
Source: RNAcentral
UUUGAUGGCGACCGGCGCACGGGUGAGUAACACGUAUCCAACCUGCCGAUGACUCGGGGAUAGCCUUUCGAAAGAAAGAUUAAUACCCGAUGGCAUAGUUCUUCCGCAUGGUAGAACUAUUAAAGAAUUUCGGUCAUCGAUGGGGAUGCGUUCCAUUAGGUUGUUGGCGGGGUAACGGCCCACCAAGCCUUCGAUGGAUAGGGGUUCUGAGAGGAAGGUCCCCCACAUUGAAACUGAGACACGGUCCAA